Molecule: non-coding RNA, 7876 nt
Organism: Oryctolagus cuniculus (rabbit)
Lineage: Eukaryota; Metazoa; Chordata; Mammalia; Lagomorpha; Leporidae
Source: RefSeq, a predicted model, not a curated record
GUGGGGGUGGGGAUUCUGCCUGGCGUCUUGAAGCCAAAAGGGAGCUCACUUCAAAGUGAGAAGAAACUGUUUUCUGGAGCGAUUCCUAAUUAUACCGCCAGGACAAUGCUUGUCUCUGAACCAGCUCCCCGUGGGAAUGAGCUCGAAGGGAGAAAAAAAGCCUCAAAGAGGUGUCAGGCUACAAUCAGCCAGAGACAGACGCCAGGUGCGGAGAGCAGAAUGCUGAGACAUCUUCCGAAGUUUAUCGGAAGUUCCUACAAGAGCUAACGUUUAGCCCCGCAGUCACGAUUUAUGUUCCUGCACUGGGCACUGGGGACACAGCAGUGAGCAGGACAUGUAAAAGUCACAGAGCUGACACGGAGCCGGCACACGUUCCAGGGAACAGGAAUCUGGGCAGUCCCUUAGGUCUGCCCGGGGAAGAACACACGGCCCAGCUCUGACCAAUCGGCGUGUUCCAUCUUUCUGGCCACAAUGAUUGGCCAACUGGAAUGAGAGGCGAUCCCAGACUUCCCCAGGAAUCUUGAGUAAAAAGCAGCUCCUCUCCUGGUGUUGCUGUCACCUGAUGUACGCUACACCUGAGCUGUUGGUAGGCAUCUACCAUCUACCACCAGCAAGAGCGAGCGAGCUAGAGAAUGAAGCCAAUGCAAACGCAAACUGAUCUCCGAGAGCCCUGAUGGCAUCAUUCGUGUCCCUGCAUCCAGCCGUACCUGAGGUCACAGCAUCUGAUCCUUCAAUCGCUUGAAAACAGGGGUGUUUGGGGUUUUCUCUCUUUUUUUCAACCUCUUUAUGUUGGGUUUCUGUGUUGACUGAUAAGACAGCGAGAAGGCAUAGGAAAUGGGGUUUUCGAUGAGAAGCUGGAAAGAAGGUGAUGAAUUCCAAGAACCCCCAAUAGUUGGAUGGGUCUGGAGGGUAGAACUGUGUAAAAGGGAACGGGGGAUGAGUCUGAGAAGGUAGGCGGGGACUUAGAGAGCCUUGAACCCUAAGUGGAGGAGACCAACCUUCCUCCACAGCUUCCACAAGUUUCUAUUUUGACAUCAAAUCAUCAGCAAGCGUUCUGGGCAUCUUCGUGCUCAGUACUGUCCCCAGCCUGCAGGAAGCACAGAGCAGAUGGCCGUCUCCCUCAGGGAACCUGCAGUCUAAUUGGAAAACGACAAGGUAGAAGUGACUAUUUAUUCAACAGUCUGAGAGGUGCCGCACUGCAUGUGCACAGCUUUGUUCUUAUACAAAGCAGGUGUAAUACUGCCCACAUAUUUUAUCGCUACAUAAACUAGGGCUCAGAGAGAGAUGGAGUCACCUGCCUCAGCUCAAUGUCUCAAUAAACAACAGACUGCAUGUACAAUGCCGGCCCCACGAGGCUGAAAUGGGGCCAGAAAUUCCUGUCACCUGUGACGUCUGGCAUCUGUGUGCUGAUGCCAGCGUCAGACCCCAUGCCCUGCCCAUCACAAAGUAGAGCAGAUAGAGUUGCAUAAAGUGCAUUGUACUUGAGAGUGACAGCACACGGGCUUCGGUGGUUACUGUCCUACACCUUUUUAUCAUUCUUUUAUAGCCUGCUCCUUGUACUUCUAGAAAACAAAGCCUGCAGGACAACAGUCCUCGUCACGCAUAUGUGGCAUUGACUGCAUCACAAGGCCAUGUCAAGGGGCUGACCCCAGCCAUCUGGAUUUAAGUGUCCUCCUGAUGUUUGCACAACCGCAGAAGCCAUGAGGGACGUCUCUUGCAGAUUGUGCCUUAUCGCGCUCUGCUGUGGCCUGGGAAAGCAGUAGAAGAUGGCCCAAGCACUGAGCCCCUGCACCCACGUGGGAGGCCCAGAAGAAGCUCCUGGCUCCUGGAUUUGGAUCGGCAUAGCUCCGACUGUUGCAGCCAACUGGGGAGUGAACCAUCGGAUGGAAGACCUCUCUCUCUAUCUCUCCUCUCUCUGUGUAAGUGUGUACGUGUCCAAGUUACACAUAGAGAAAAGAGGCAGAGAAAGAGAGAAAGAGAGAAAGAGAGAAAGAGAGAAAGAGAGAGAGAGAGAGAGAGAGAGAGAGAGGUAGAGGUAGAAACAGAGAGAGAGGUCUUCCAUCUGCUGGUUCACUCCCCAAUUGGCUGCAACAGCUGGAGCUGGACCAAUCAGAAGCCAGGAGCCAGGAGCCUCCUCCGGGUCUCCCAUGCAGGGCACCAUCUUUGGCGUGACUGUGACGGCCUCCCGUCAGGGACUGUAAUCUUGACACCCUACUCCGGUUCCCAGUGAGUAGGGUUCUCCCCAUGGCGUGCACUGCUGGGGGUGCAUUUGCUUUGUGCUCUGGGAAGGGCAGAAAGGAGAUGAUCCUGAAACUCCCACAUUCCCAUACACUCUUAGAAUGGGCAUGCACAGAUCGCUCUCUGUGGAUGGGAAUUAGGCCCAAGUCCCCCGAAAUCCCACUUCCUGUCAGAAACCUCCCCUGGGCAUCCAAACUAGAGUCCCUCCCCUGGUCUCCGAAUACAAGAAACUGAGUCAUUUAGAGGGAGCAGGUCCUACAAGGUCACGUGUGAGUCCACAGGCACUUAAGUGCUGCAGCCACCGCGGACUCCAGCCUCCUCCUUCCCUCCCCCAGGCCAGGUCUCGCCAUGAGAUCCACUACUCUAACCACUGGAAGCCCACAGUGGCACUUUGACUGCCUUUGCAUCCUUAUGCACUCAUGGAUGGCAAAUAGUGGUGACGGCAUCAGUGUGACCUGGUCGUGGUGAUGUCUGGAAGGAACAGAGGGUCAUCAUGAUGUUGAGAAUGGGGCACAGAGGCAAUGUUGUGUUAAGAAGGAUGCAGAGGGGGCCGGCACCGUGGGGCAGUAGGUUAAUCCUCUGCCUGCAGCGCUGGCAUCUCAUAUGGGCGCUGGUUCUGGUCCCCGCUGCUCCUCUUCCAAUCCAGCUCUCUGCUGUGGUCUGGGAAAGCAGUAGAAGAUGGCCCAAGUCUUUUGCCCCUGCACCCAACUGGGAGACCAGGAAGAAGCUCCUGGCUCCUGGCUUCAGAUUGGCACAGCUCUGGCCAAUGUGGCCAUCUGGGGAGUGAACCAACAGAAGGAAGACCUUUCUCUCUGUCUCUCCCUCUCACUGAUUGUGGCUCUAUCUCUCAAAUAAAUAAAUAAAAUCUUAAAAAAAAAAAAAAAGGAUGCAGAGGGUCGUCAUUAUGCUGAGAAAGGAACAGAGAACGCUGACUGAUUAUCAGUGGCUGUCGUGGGUACAGAACGGAGAGUGGCAUCACAUCUUUGGCUCCUUCUAGAAGCUUCCUUCAGCUAUAUUCCAGGACUUUCCACAUUAAAUUACCGCUGUAUGUUUGUGUGUGACAGUCUCUCCCAUUGCUGAGUUGCUGGAGGUCAGAAAUUGUGCUUGCUCAUAUCCCGGCUGCUCCAUUUUUAAUCCAGUUCCCUGCUCAUGGUCUUGGAAAAGCAGCAGAGAAUGGCCCACGUGCUUGGGGCCCUGCACCCACGUGGAACCUGGAACAGGCUCCUGGACCCCAACUUCGGCCUCGCUCAGCCCUGGCUGUUGCGGCCAUCUAGGGAGCAAACCAGUGGAGGGAAGAUUUUCUCUCUCUCUCUCUCUUGGUCUCAUCCUCCCUCUUUAUAACUCUGACUUUCAAAAUGAUUGAACCCAGCCAAUGAACAUGUUCAUCACCUCCCCUACGUACCAUUUUUUGCAGUAAGAACGUUGAACAUCUAUUCUUCUAGCCAUUCUGAAAGAUACCAUACAUUAUCAUUAGCUGCUGUCACCAUGCCGUGCACUAGAUCACGGCAACUUACUCCUCCUGUCUGCAUCUUUGUGCCUUUUGGCUGACUUUGCCAUUUUCCCCGUUCCCCGCUGUUUGGUGUGGCUCGCCAUUUCUACAGCGUGCUUCUCACGCAAGUUCCGAUGCACUGACAGCCACCACACACGUGCUGAAGACAGAUCAGUCACCUGGGGCACAAGCGUGCCAGGUCUCGCCUGCCUCAUCACCAGGAUUUCAUCACGCCAGGAAGUGUCACAUUCCCGUCUGCCUGACUUGGGAGCAGAGUGUCACCCAACCAUAGGUCCAUGCUGUUAUUGAUAUCUUCUUGUGACUACAGAAUAGAAGAAUGAGUCUGGAACGGGCCAGAUAUGGUCAGGUGACUCCUCUGUGAAGGCCUCUUCCUAAGUGCAUUACCACGGCUCACGUGACUCUGGAUUUAUGAGCUCCGGUUUGGAGCUGAGCACACUUGGAUUGAAAGCUCAGCUCAACCACGUGCUGGGUUUGAACAUGCGAACUUAAACCACCCAGGUCUUAUUUACUGGUGAAAUGGCGGCAGCCAGCGGCCACCUGGCCAUGGCAAGAACCAUGUGACACAGCAUAAGCUAAACCCCUCGCACAGAGUCACCCUACACUAAGUGCACAGGAAACAGGAGUUUCCUAAACUUUCCUCCCAGCCAGCACAGGCCGUCUCGGUUUCUGUGUUGAGGUGCCACGGUAUGCAAUGCCCAGAAAUCCCCACCCAAGGGUGAAGGAGCGUCUGCUUUCUGUCUUAAUCAGGGUUCCCCAGACAACAGAUUCUGCAGCAAAAGCACCGUAUGCUGAUGCUGUCCCAGGAAGGUGAGCCCAGGGGGCGGGUGAAAGAAGGGGUGAGACAGGUGCGCUAGGGAGCAGACGGCUGUGGGUCAGGCUGGCAGCUUCAGCAGCUCAGAUGUUUGUAGAGGACCUGAGUCUUGGACGGGGGUGGUGGCGGGGGGAAUAAUCUACCGUCCGGUUCUCAUCACUUGUGGUCAGAGUGCCCUCCAUGGCUGUCAACUCCGCCAUAUGCGCGGAUUUCCCACGGGUGGGUAGCAAUUGGCCCCCACGCUGCCUUGUGCCUCGGUGGGGCAGGGAAGUUCUAGGGCAGAGGAAAAGUGCUUCCGGGUCAUUUCCACGAGUGGCAUAAGGCCCAGAGCAGUUGUCACAGCAGGAGUAACCAUAGCAAGGGUCCUGGCCACAACCACUGUGUCUAAGAUGAUGGCAUGUGCUGUUCUAAGCCCCUCUGGCCAGAAAGUGAGGCGGGUGCAGAGUUCAUGAAAAGCACACGACGUGCGCCUGACGCACCUUCCAGCCAGGUGAGAGCCCAGAUUCACCUCUUUAACAUUCACAACCAAAGGUCAACGGGCCACCUGCCUAUCUGUAUCUAAAACAGACUCACUGCUGGACUGCCCGUCUCAGAAUGAACGUGCUCUCCUGGGCUUCAGGGAGUGUAUGGCUCUCCAUGGCCACUCAACGUCCUGCUGGGGACCACAACGGGCCCUGCUGGGUGUCCUGGGCUCUUUGGUGUAGGAGGCUGCUUCCUGAGAGCCCAUCACCUCAGCCCCCUGCACAGCUGUCCAUCAGCAGAGGCGUGUCACCGCGAGACCCUGAGCUUUCCAUCAAAGAGCUCCAAGAAAAGACACGGCCAGGCCACGUCUGUUCUUGCUUCUGCAGGUUUUAUUUAGAAUGUUGAAUCAGGGUAUUCGGUGUCCCCUAUGUAAAUCCAUUUUAGUUCAUUCACGUAUUGUGAGACUACAUAUUUAGGGAAUCAGCAAGAAAAAGACAACCUAGGGGCUGGCACCAUGGCAUAGUGGGUAAAGCCACCAAAUGCAGCGCUAGCAUCCCAUAUGGGUGCUGGUUCAAGACCCAGCUCCACUUCUUAUCCAGCUCUCUGCUGAUGGUCUGGGAAGGCAGUGGAAGUGCUUGGGCCCCUGCACCCAUGUGGGUGACCCGGAAGAAGCUCCUGGCUCCUGACUUCAGAUCGGUCAGCUCCGGCCAUUGCAGCCAUUUGGGAAGUGAACCAGCAGAAGAAAUGUCGCUCCCCCUCUUCAUGGAGGAACGACACUAAGCCCUGCCUAGGCUUCAUAUCCGAGUCACGGCACCAUUAUGUCGCUCCCCGUCUUCGUGGAGGAACGACACAGGACCCUGCGCUGUUCUUUCGUCUGCUCGGCCCUUCCCGGGUUUGCUGCUGGUUCUUCCCGGGUUGGCUACUGUCCCUUCCACCUCCGUGGAAGGGCGGUUCCCCCUGCCACAUUCCCCACCUCCGCAGGGGAGCGGCACACCGCCGGCCGGCUCUCUCAGGGGCUGCACAGGUGUUCCCCUUAGAUGUUCCCCUUAGAUGUUCCUGGUGCAUGCCGUCUCUCUCCUCCUUUAUAGUCCUCCUCCGCCAAUUCCAACUCGGCUGCCCACACGCCGAGUACGCUGCUCUCCUCCAACCAGGAGCAGGUCCUACAGCCUAUUGGUUGAACUGGAGGCAGCUGCGCAGAAGCUGUUUUCUCCUCUCCCAGCGCCAUAUUGUGGGAGAGCAGAUGCAUAGAAUAAGUCUUAAUUCCAGUAACUUCGUCUAGUCCAAGUUGCUCCCCACAAGAAAGACUUCUCUCUCUGUCUCUGCCUCUCUGUAACUCUGCCUUUCAAAUAAAUAAAUAAAUCUUUAAAAAAAAGAAAAAAGAAAUUCUAGCUUAAAAAAAAGACCUUGCAAACAGCUCUUACAUAUUUGAAAAGAUGCUCAAUCUUCCAUACAUAAGAGAAGAGCAAAUUAAAACUACACUGGAAUAUCCUUUUUCCCAUCAGCCAGGCAAAAAUCCAAGAGGUAAAUGAUGCGUUUUGUUGGUGAGGCCACGGGGAAAUAGGUAAUUCUCAAACCCCUCUGCUGGGAGUGUAAUUUGACAACAUCUAUCAAAAUUAUGAACGCAUAUAUUUUUUGACACAGCAAUUCCUCUCCUGAGAUUUUAUUCUACAGAGAUGCUUGGACUGGUGCAAAAUGAUGUAUGAAACAGGAUUAAUCACUGCAGAAUUAUAAGAGCUAACUACUGGUAACAGCCUGAAUGCUCUGAAUGGGAGAUCAGCAUAUCCAAACAACAUAGUAUACAGUGUUUAAAAACUAUAAUGAGAUUUGCUGAUAUAGCAGGAUCUUCAUCCAGAAGGGAUGCUGUUACCAUGAUAAUGCUGCCUCAUAAAUCUCCCAAGCCUUAAAAUAAAGCCAUUGACUCAUCCUCAGACCCAUGGAUCUGAGAGCUGGUUGGGGUUCUGCAACCUAUGGCUGGGCUCAGCAGGACGGCUCUUCUCCGGGCUGCGAGCCCUUGGUCCGGUUGAGCCUGUUUGUUCCUCACUCAAGAUCCAGGAGGUAGGAGCAACAGUUAGCUAAGGCAGGCUUUUCUCAUAGUGGGUUUUGGAGCACAAGACAUGAUACCCAUCACACCAAAACAUUUCAAGACUCUAACAUCCUGUCAGCUAACAUCCAUUGGCCAAGACAAGUCACAUGACAAACCCCAAAGGCAAAGGUGAGGAAGAACAUUCUACCCAUCACAAGUCAUGGCAAGGGUGGGAGUGAGGAAUUGGGACCUACAAUUCAACCUAACAUUACAUACACACAUGUGUGUAUAUAUAUGUGUAUACACAUGUCAUAAGAGGGGGGUCUUCAGAAACUUCACGAAAAUGCAUGCUAUGAAAAACUAUGCAUGGAUUCCAAGACAAUUUUAAAGGUACAGGGUUGUGGUGCAGCAGGUUAAGCCACUGCCUGCAGCACCGGCAUCCCAUAUGGGCACCAGUUUGAGUCCUGGCUGUUCCACUUCCAAUCCAGCUCCCUGCCAAUAUGCCUGGGAAAGCAGCAGAGGAUGGCCCAAGUCCUUGGGCCCCUGUACCCACAUGGGAGAUGCAGAUGAAGCUCCUGGCUCCUGGCUUCAGUCUGGCCCAGCCGCAGCCAUGGUGGCCAUUUGGGGAGUGAAUCAGCUAAAUGGUUCUCUCAACCCUGGCUGCCACCAGAACCACCUUCCACCUCCGCUCACAGAGAUCCUGAUAUGAUUGGAUUGGAGCAGAGGCUGGCAUGGAGAUUUUAAAGGGUCUCAUGUGAUUUCAGCACGAAUCUGAGAUGGAGAAUAACGACCAUAGUAAGAGGAGACAGAUUUUUUUUUUGACAGGCAGAGU